Molecule: long non-coding RNA, 744 nt
Filed under: Gossypium barbadense (sea-island cotton)
Lineage: Eukaryota; Viridiplantae; Streptophyta; Magnoliopsida; Malvales; Malvaceae
Description: long non-coding RNA (GBAR_LNC012483)
Source: RNAcentral
AAAUAAAUGUUUAUUACAAUCCAUUUACAAUACAUGGCCCACUAACCCGUAGGCCCAAAAUCAAUUGGACUAAACCUUAUGCCCGGUUACAACCUAGCAAGCCUAAAAUUACCCAGCAGACCUAGUUACACCCUCGACCCAAAGCACACAAAGCCCAAACGGCCCAAGAUGUUAACAAAAUACGGGUAUCAGAAACCCUAGGUGCCGCAACCAUCCUAAAAGACGCGCCUUUUCAAAUUGCGUCAUUCCAGUAGCCACUAUCAGCGCCGUGGUUCCAGUCCCCAUGUCACGCCACAAUCAGCGCAUGGAUCAUGACCCACCGCCAAAGAUUGUGUCAUUAACCUGCAAGAAAAGGAAAGAAGCAAGCAAAUCAAGAAUCAAAAUCGAGGUUUAUUUUUAUUUCUAAGAUUUAUUUGUAAACAAUAUAAAUGGAUGUAAAAAUACGGUGUAAAAGGGGGGGAUUUUUUUUAUAGAAAUAAAAUAGAUACAGAUAUUACCCACAGAAGAAAUAAGAAAUAGAGUUUAUUUUAGAAGGUGAUUUUUUAUCUCAUAUUUCAUUUAUUUUCUCUUUUCUUAGACGAAUAUACAAAAUGUUUUUUUUUUAAAAACUAGUAACAUUCAAAAGAAAAGGAGUUACCUGUGAAAGGACGAAGGUUUUUAAACCCUCACACCACCACGUACGACAGCGCGUGAGGCACGUGUGCAGGCACUGCACUGUAGUCGGAGACCGAAGGCCAGACUACC